RNAcentral lists this transfer RNA (66 nucleotides) under Plethodon cinereus (red-backed salamander). RNAcentral describes it as "tRNA-Gly". Lineage: Eukaryota; Metazoa; Chordata; Amphibia; Caudata; Plethodontidae. The record is from RNAcentral.
GUUUUUUUAGUAUAAAAUAUAAAUGAUUUCCAAUCAUUAGAUCUCAGCAAAACCUGAGAAAAGACA